Molecule: ribosomal RNA, 468 nt
Filed under: uncultured bacterium
Lineage: Bacteria
Description: partial 16S ribosomal RNA
Rfam family: Bacterial small subunit ribosomal RNA
Source: RNAcentral
GAAGAAAGAGGGAGGCGUGCUUAACACAUGCAAGUCGAACGGAAAGGCCCUGCUUUUGUGGGGUGCUCGAGUGGCGAACGGGUGAGUAACACGUGAGUAACCUGCCCUUGACUUUGGGAUAACUUCAGGAAACUGGGGCUAAUACCGGAUAGGAGCUCCUGCUGCAUGGUGGGGGUUGGAAAGUUUCGGCGGUUGGGGAUGGACUCGCGGCUUAUCAGCUUGUUGGUGGGGUAGUGGCUUACCAAGGCUUUGACGGGUAGCCGGCCUGAGAGGGUGACCGACCACAUUGGGACUGAGAUACGGCCCAGACUCCUACGGGAGGCAGCAGUGGGGAAUAUUGCACAAUGGGCGGAAGCCUGAUGCAGCAACGCCGCGUGCGGGAUGACGGCCUUCGGGUUGUAAACCGCUUUCGCCUGUGACGAAGCGUGAGUGACGGUAAUGGGUAAAGAAGCACCGGCUAACUACGUG